RNAcentral lists this long non-coding RNA (696 nucleotides) under Anser brachyrhynchus (Pink-footed goose). RNAcentral's name for it is "lncRNA (ENSABRG00000008521.1)". Lineage: Eukaryota; Metazoa; Chordata; Aves; Anseriformes; Anatidae. The record is from RNAcentral.
CAAACAGAAUCCCAACCACUGGUCAAAAAGGGGUUUGGUUUGGCAGAUGUGACGACCUUCUCGGAAUCCCGACGUUUCGGUACGCUUGAGUUUCCUUUCCGUGACGUGGUUGUGACACUUCACAUUGUGACACAGACGUGUGUAUGGGGUUCAUGUGCAAGGGUUUGGUGGCUGGGGACUGUGGGGCAGAGCUGUGUCCCAUGGGAGGGCCCCACGCUGGAGCAGGGCGAGGGGGGAGGCUUCUGGGCAGCACUGAAAACUUGACCCUGAGCGGUGUCAAAGAUCAUGCAGGCAUAUCUGAGGACUGCCAUUCCAGCAACGGCAUCUCCGCUUUCCACUCACCCCCUCUUUUAUUGCAUUGGAUGCAUGUCUUCGUUGCGUCUGCGGGUGUUUCUUCUGGGUGCAGCAGCAGAAGCAGUUUGAUGGACACGAGCACCCCAGCAUCCCUGGAGUAUUUCCACGUAUCUGAGGAGAGAGCCCUAGAAAACACCUGGAAGUGCUGGAGCGUGCUUCAAAACUUAAGAUACUUCCUGGCUGCUAAGUUAAUCGGGGAAACGAUAGGUUAAAAGCGUGUCUUUACACAAUGGGCUGCCUGCAUGUAUUCCUGGGCUUGUGUGAAAGGACAAUGAAAAAUGGACCACCUUGGGCUGCGAGCUCAGUGCUGCAACCUCGUCACUGUCUUCUGCGAGCUCUCUG